UGUUCAUUUGGUUUCUAUCUUUAUUUGUUUUUUUGUCAUAGAACUCUCAGAAAUUGAGCCCAAUGUAUUCCUUCGUCCAUUUCUGGAAGUGAUUCGCUCAGAAGAUACCACUGGCCCUAUCACUGGACUGGCUCUUACCUCUGUCAACAAGUUCCUGUCCUAUGCACUUAUAGGUAAGAGCUUAUACUUUGUUAGAUGACUAUAGCACUUUAUUUCUUGCCUCUCUUGGGUUGCUGAGGUCUUAGUCAAUGAGCUGAUGAUACUGGAAAAUGUUUCUCAGCCAUCUCUUUCCUUGUAGAAGAGAAAUAUGAUUGUUAUUGUUACUCAUCGUGCUAAUUGAAUGGGGUUGUACAGGCAAGAAUGGGAGGGACAAAAAUUUACCCUAUGACUGUGGUUUCUCUAAUGCUUUGAGAGUUAAGGGUACGAUCUGAUUUUAUUUAUAUAAAUGUAUGUAUGCAUAUCUUUAUUUAUUUAUUUGUAUGUGUGUGAUGCUGGGGAUUGAACUCAAGGCCUCACACAUGCAAGGCAAGCACUUUUCUACUGAACCAUACCCAUCCCUAAAGUUAUAUUUUCAAAUAUUA
RNAcentral lists this long non-coding RNA (581 nucleotides) under Marmota monax (woodchuck). Lineage: Eukaryota; Metazoa; Chordata; Mammalia; Rodentia; Sciuridae. The record is from RNAcentral.